Molecule: ribosomal RNA, 234 nt
Filed under: Streptomyces rimosus subsp. rimosus
Lineage: Bacteria; Bacillati; Actinomycetota; Actinomycetes; Kitasatosporales; Streptomycetaceae
Description: partial 23S ribosomal RNA
Rfam family: Bacterial large subunit ribosomal RNA
Source: RNAcentral
UGGUGGAGCCGCUGAUCCAAGGUGGUAGUAGGUGAGUGAUGGGGUGACGCAGGAAGGUAGUCCAGCCCGGGCGGUGGUUGUCCCGGGGUAAGGGUGUAGCCCGUCAUCCAGGCAAAUCCGGAUGGCACAUAAGGGUGAGACCUGAUGCCGAGCCGAUUGUGGUGAAGUGGAUGAUCCUAUGCUGUCGAGAAAAGCCUCUAGCGAGUUUCAUGGCGGCCCGUACCCUAAACCGAC